UACGUAGGGACCAAGCGUUGUUCGGAUUUACUGGGCGUAAAGGGCGCGUAGGCGGCGUGACAAGUCACUUGUGAAAUCUCUGAGCUUAACUCAGAACGGCCAAGUGAAACUGCAGUGCUAGAGUGUGGAAGGGGCAAUCGGAAUUCUUGGUGUAGCGGUGAAAUGCGUAGAUAUCAAGAGGAACACCUGAGGUGAAGACGGGUUGCUGGGCCAACACUGACGCUGAGGUGCGAAAGCGUGGGGAGCAAACAGG
RNAcentral lists this ribosomal RNA (253 nucleotides) under uncultured bacterium. RNAcentral's name for it is "partial 16S ribosomal RNA". It matches the Rfam family "Bacterial small subunit ribosomal RNA", at positions 524 to 776 of the family's 1533-position model. The record is from RNAcentral.